RNAcentral lists this unclassified non-coding RNA (353 nucleotides) under soil metagenome. RNAcentral's name for it is "partial contains 5.8S ribosomal RNA, internal transcribed spacer 2, and large subunit ribosomal RNA". The stretch from base 1 to 121 matches the Rfam family "5.8S ribosomal RNA", at positions 35 to 154 of the family's 154-position model. The record is from RNAcentral.
GAUGAAGAACGCAGCGAACGUGCGAAACGUAAUGUGAAUUGCAGAAUUCAGUGAAUCAUCGAAUCUUUGAACGCACAUUGCGCCCGCCAGUAUUCUGGCGGGCAUGCCUGUUCGAGCGUCAUUACAACCCUCAGGCCCCCGGGCCUGGCGUUGGGGAUCGGCAGAAGCCCCCUGUGGGCACACGCCGUCCCUCAAAUACAGUGGCGGUCCCGCCGCAGCUUCCAUUGCGUAGUAGCUAACACCUCGCAACUGGAGAGCGGCGCGGCCAUGCCGUAAAACACCCAACUUCUGAAUGUUGACCUCGAAUCAGGUAGGAAUACCCGCUGAACUUAAGCAUAUCAAUAAGCGGAGGA